Molecule: long non-coding RNA, 210 nt
Organism: Pan troglodytes (chimpanzee)
Lineage: Eukaryota; Metazoa; Chordata; Mammalia; Primates; Hominidae
Exons: 3
Source: RefSeq, a predicted model, not a curated record
GGUCAAGAGAUGCUUCUGGAAGCCAGGGUCUGGAGGUGGAAACCUCAGGAAUCUACCUGCUGCUCUACUCUACUGCAGUCAGCAUGAUCUCAGCAUGAUGGAGGACAGGGAAGAUAAAAACAAAAUGGAGCUCUUAUUGCCAAAGGGAUUUUUAUCCAGUGGAAGGCUGACUUCACCAGAGCAAGAAAAAUCAGCCAGAGGCAUCUGGGA